Oncorhynchus tshawytscha (Chinook salmon) is the source of this 259-nucleotide long non-coding RNA. RefSeq lists it as uncharacterized. Lineage: Eukaryota; Metazoa; Chordata; Actinopteri; Salmoniformes; Salmonidae. The record is from RefSeq and is a predicted model, not a curated record. The transcript has 3 exons.
GAGAUAGACACAGAAGGAGAGAGAGAUCUGGAGAGAGCAAGAUAGACGGAGUGAGACAGACUUUCCUACAAACAACCGAUGUAAUUGGUACCUUUUGAAAUCUCUUGGAACACAACUCUAAACUGAGUGUAGGAGUCUCUGAUCACAUCUUUAGCCAUAUUUCCAUUGAAUUUCACACUGAUGGAAACUUCUUUGUACCUCACCCUCCUAAUCUCAGGGUUCUACACACCUUCCUCGUGUCUUAUUUGUCAGUAUCACG